RNAcentral lists this ribosomal RNA (1027 nucleotides) under Xenorhabdus sp. NBAII XenSa04. RNAcentral's name for it is "bacterial SSU rRNA". It matches the Rfam family "Bacterial small subunit ribosomal RNA", at positions 494 to 1520 of the family's 1533-position model. Lineage: Bacteria; Pseudomonadati; Pseudomonadota; Gammaproteobacteria; Enterobacterales; Morganellaceae. The record is from RNAcentral.
CGGCUAACUCCGUGCCAGCAGCCGCGGUAAUACGGAGGGUGCAAGCGUUAAUCGGAAUUACUGGGCGUAAAGCGCACGCAGGCGGUCCAUUAAGUUAGAUGUGAAAUCCCCGGGCUUAACCCGGGAACGGCAUCUAAGACUGGUGGGCUAGAGUCUCGUAGAGGGGGGUAGAAUUCCACGUGUAGCGGUGAAAUGCGUAGAGAUGUGGAGGAAUACCGGUGGCGAAGGCGGCCCCCUGGACGAAGACUGACGCUCAGGUGCGAAAGCGUGGGGAGCAAACAGGAUUAGAUACCCUGGUAGUCCACGCCGUAAACGAUGUCGAUUUGGAGGUUGUGCCCUUGAGGUGUGGCUUCCGGAGCUAACGCGUUAAAUCGACCGCCUGGGGAGUACGGUCGCAAGAUUAAAACUCAAAUGAAUUGACGGGGGCCCGCACAAGCGGUGGAGCAUGUGGUUUAAUUCGAUGCAACGCGAAGAACCUUACCUACUCUUGACAUCCACGGAAUUCUGCAGAGAUGCGGAAGUGCCUUCGGGAACCGUGAGACAGGUGCUGCAUGGCUGUCGUCAGCUCGUGUUGUGAAAUGUUGGGUUAAGUCCCGCAACGAGCGCAACCCUUAUCCUUUGUUGCCAGCACGUUAUGGUGGGAACUCAAGGGAGACUGCCGGUGAUAAACCGGAGGAAGGUGGGGAUGACGUCAAGUCAUCAUGGCCCUGACGAGUAGGGCUACACACGUGCUACAAUGGCGGAUACAAAGAGAAGCGACCUCGCGAGAGCAAGCGGAACUCAUAAAGUCUGUCGUAGUCCGGAUUGGAGUCUGCAACUCGACUCCAUGAAGUCGGAAUCGCUAGUAAUCGUAGAUCAGCAUGCUACGGUGAAUACGUUCCCGGGCCUUGUACACACCGCCCGUCACACCAUGGGAGUGGGUGGCAAAAGAAGUCGGUAGCUUAACCUUCGGGAGGGCGCUGACCACUUUGUGAUUCAUGACUGGGGUGAAGUCGUAACAAGGUAACCGUAGGGGAACCUGCGGUUG